CCGGAGGUAGGGUCCAGC
Molecule: small nuclear RNA, 18 nt
Filed under: Arabidopsis thaliana (thale cress)
Lineage: Eukaryota; Viridiplantae; Streptophyta; Magnoliopsida; Brassicales; Brassicaceae
Description: snRNA_09709
Source: RNAcentral